RNAcentral lists this ribosomal RNA (497 nucleotides) under uncultured bacterium. Its description in RNAcentral is "partial 16S ribosomal RNA". It matches the Rfam family "Bacterial small subunit ribosomal RNA", at positions 28 to 507 of the family's 1533-position model. The record is from RNAcentral.
GAUGAACGCUGGCGGCGUGCCUAAUACAUGCAAGUCGAGCGAACGGACGAGAAGCUUGCUUCUCUGAUGUUAGCGGCGGACGGGUGAGUAACACGUGGAUAACCUACCUAUAAGACUGGGAUAACUUCGGGAAACCGGAGCUAAUACCGGAUAAUAUUUUGAACCGCAUGGUUCAAAAGUGAAAGACGGUCUUGCUGUCACUUAUAGCUGGAUCCGCGCUGCAUUAGCUAGUUGGUAAGGUAACGGCUUACCAAGGCAACGAUGCAUAGCAGACCUGAGAGGAUGAUCGGCCACACUGGAACUGAGACACGGUCCAGACUCCUACGGGAGGCAGCAGUAGGGAAUCUUCCGCAAUGGGCGAAAGCCUGACGGGGCAACGCCGCGUGAGUGAUGAAGGUCUUCGGAUCGUAAAACUCUGUUAUUAGGGAAGAACAUAUGUGUAAGUAACUGUGCACAUCUUGACGGUACCUAAUCAGAAAGCCACGGCUAACUACGUG